UACGUAGGGUGCAAGCGUUAUCCGGAAUGAUUGGGCGUAAAGCGUCCGCAGGUGGCAGUUCAAGUCUGCUGUCAAAGACCGGGGCUUAACUUCGGAAAGGCAGUGGAAACUGAACAGCUAGAGUAUGGUAGGGGCAGAGGGAAUUCCUGGUGUAGCGGUGAAAUGCGUAGAGAUCAGGAAGAACAUCGGUGGCGAAGGCGCUCUGCUGGACCAUAACUGACACUCAGGGACGAAAGCUAGGGGAGCGAAUGGG
RNAcentral lists this ribosomal RNA (253 nucleotides) under uncultured bacterium. RNAcentral describes it as "partial 16S ribosomal RNA". It matches the Rfam family "Bacterial small subunit ribosomal RNA", at positions 524 to 776 of the family's 1533-position model. The record is from RNAcentral.